Molecule: ribosomal RNA, 760 nt
Filed under: uncultured Glomus
Lineage: Eukaryota; Fungi; Glomeromycota; Glomeromycetes; Glomerales; Glomeraceae
Description: eukaryotic LSU rRNA
Rfam family: Eukaryotic large subunit ribosomal RNA
Source: RNAcentral
GCAUAUCAAUAAGCGGAGGAAAAGAAAAUAACAAUGAUUCCCCUAGUAACUGCGAGUGAAGAGGGACAAGCUCAAAUUUUAAAUCUGUCGGGUUUUACCUGACCGAGUUGUAAUUUGAAGAAGCGUUUUCUGCGUAUUUGGUCAGCCUAAGUCCUAUUGAAUGAGGCAUCAUGGAGGGUGAUAAUCCCGUCCGGUUGAUCACUGCGUUUUACGAUACGCUUUCUAAGAGUCAAGUUGUUUGGGAUUGCAGCUUAAAAUGGGAGGUAAAUUUCUCCUAAGGCUAAAUAACGGCGAGAGACCGAUAGCGAACAAGUACCGUGAGGGAAAGAUGAAAAGAACUUUGGAAAGAGAGUUAAACAGUACGUGAAAUUGUUGAAAGGGAAACGAUUGAAGCCAGUCGUACCUGUGGGUAAUCAGCCUUUUGGGUGUGAUUUUGUGGAGUGUGAGGAGUUAAACGCCUUCAUGCCUGCAUAUUCGUGCACUUUGGGUGUAUUUACCCGUGUGGUAAGUUAACAUCAAUUUCGGUGGUCAUAAAAUGGCUGGAGGAAUGUAGCUUCGAUCUUGUAUUGAAGUGUUAUAGCCUUCGGUAGAUGUGAUGAUCGGGAUUGAGGAUUGCAACGGAUACCCUUCGGGGCUACCUGUCUGAUCUCUGAUCGUUGCUCUGGUGCCGAAAGCUUGCUUACGGUUAUCAAAGUCGAUGGUCAAUAGGUUAGAACGGGUUAAAUUCGUUAAGGAUGUUGACGUAAUGGCUUUAAACGAC